This 237-nucleotide ribosomal RNA is filed under the name Triticum aestivum (bread wheat). RNAcentral's name for it is "partial small subunit ribosomal RNA". Lineage: Eukaryota; Viridiplantae; Streptophyta; Magnoliopsida; Poales; Poaceae. The record is from RNAcentral.
AUGGAGGGCCUCAUCCCGUUCAUCUACAGGGCCGUGGCGCAGUACAGGAAGGAGGGGCAGGUCUCCCUCGCCGACCUCCUCUUCGACGAGCAGCCGUCCUCGUCGCCCACGGCGGCCUCGGCCUACUUCCGCCUCCCCGGGGACUCCGGCCGGCACCAGCGCGUCUCGGCCGACUCCGGUGCAGCACGGCGGUCUCCGGCGCACCGUCGGCGCACCAUGGAGCACGGAUCGUGGUGA